AAAAACGAGGGGGAGGGGAGAGAAUUUGUUCUCCAAUCACUGGGUUUAAACCUGCUUGGUCAAAUCUCCUUCCCCUAACCCUUUCCAGUUACUUUCAUUUAGGAGAAAAAGUUAACUGUGUCUAUCUUUAGGUAUUAUGUCCAGACUAUGCCAAUUUAAACCUGAAUCAUCUCGAAUUCCCAGUUUGUCUCCUGAACAAGUUCAGGCUGUCGGCUGUCGCAGGCUGGUGGGCUCAGAGACUUCUAAUAGAGUCUGUCCCUUCCCUUUGCCUUCAACUCUCCUACCACCCCCUACUUCUUGGGUCCUGUAAAGGGCUGAGACGUUUAGGAAAUAUGAAUCAAAAGUCUUAUACGAUUGGUGCUUUUGUAAUCCAGCCACUAGUGUCUUCUGUGUGGCAGGUAUUCACAGGGUGACUCUUGGGGAUCACUUUAAAGGCUUUUCUGAAGGGCCUGUGGUAAUCUGCAACCUGCACAGUUGCUUGAAAUGACAAACGUUCUUUCUGAUGUCAUCUCAUGACCCAACCCUUUAACCCCCACCCCGCAGCACAUACUUGUUUUGUUUUGGAGAAGCCUCUCCCACUACCCUCCAUCCUGCUCGGUUCAGACUGGAUGCCUUCUGCUCCUGCUGUGCGCAGUGGCUAUACUGAGACUUUCCUCGUGUUCUUUCCUUGAUCCUGGGUGGGGUCAGGGAAAGCGGGUGGAAUUGAUGCAGGAGGGAGAUUAAUUUGAGUAAGCAGAAGAACGUGCCUGAAUGCACUGCACUUGAAAUUGAAGUAACAUUCUUAGGAUUAGGGUCAAGGUUAAGCUAAGUGCUAUGAGCCCAUCCAGAGGAUGCCCUUCACAUGCUCAGAGCUUUGGAAGCAAACCAGAGCAUCCAGCUAUGACCUUCCAAUCCCCUGAGGGGACUUUAGGAUCUGAUUUAAGAUGUGUCUUUCAAAACCCAUUGGUACAGCCAGGAAGUUUAACUCGGAGGAAAAGCAAGCUUAGAAAAUGUAAGCAAUCCUUGAUUUAAUUGUUUUUUCUCCCUCUCAGUAAAUGGAGUAUGCAUUUGCUAAAAAAUGUAAAACUGUCAUAUUUGACUGAAUAAACUGUGAGGGUUUAGAGUGAAUAAAUAAUGUUCAUUCUAAACUGGUCUUGUUACGGUAUUUUCUUUUCUUAUGAUUCAGUCAUGUGUUUUAAGUUAAAAACAGUGUUUAUUUUUCAUAGCAUUCAUUACUAGCCAGGGCCUGUGUCAACUUUCAAGGUUUAAGUCUUUUCGAAUGAAAUUUAAAGAACCACUAUUCUUUCCUAUCAGAGUAAAACACAUUCUAAAUCCUAAUAAAUCUAUUUCUUUAAUAUGCCACUUGAAGUACAAUAGUGCAAACAAAAACACAUAACGGGUUCCUCUUGAGAGAAAGGAAAACGUAUCCACUUUUGAUGAAAGAUCUUUUGAUAAUUCACUCUUGGCUUCGCCGCUUGAUUUAUAUCGUCUUCCCACAUUAAUUUGUUUUUAAUUUUUUUCCUGCC
This 1505-nucleotide long non-coding RNA is filed under the name Callithrix jacchus (white-tufted-ear marmoset). Its description in RNAcentral is "lncRNA (ENSCJAG00000078939.1)". Lineage: Eukaryota; Metazoa; Chordata; Mammalia; Primates; Cebidae. The record is from RNAcentral.